RNAcentral lists this long non-coding RNA (645 nucleotides) under Mytilus galloprovincialis (Mediterranean mussel). The record is from RNAcentral. Lineage: Eukaryota; Metazoa; Mollusca; Bivalvia; Mytilida; Mytilidae.
UAUAUAUAUAUAUAUAUAUAUGUUCCAGACCGUAUGAGUAUUUGGACCGUACGCGUACGGUCCGGACCGUAUACGUAUACUCGUACGGUCGGACCGUAUGAGUAUACGCGUACGGUCGGACCGUAUGAGUAUACGCGUACGGUCCAGCUGACCAUACAUGUUUUGGGAUCAUAUGGGUUAAAUUCAAACAAAUGUUUAUCAAAAUCCUUAUUAUUAGUUAUGCAAAUUGUUAUUAUUACAAUAAGAUGGAUAAAGUGAAUAAGCGAACAAUUGAAAUUGAAUAUUUGUUUGAUUUUAUAUCCGUGAAUCCUUUUGUGUUACUCUGGCCCAAGGUGACACUUGCUUCCACAAGGAACGUCAUAUUUUUUUUUUACAUUUUCAUGCAUGUUCCUUUGCAUAUGCAUUUUUUUGUAAAGUUCCUAAAUAUUCUUCAACAAUUGUCCUGCCACAUUAUGUUUACUUCCGAGAAUUUCAAUGAGCAUACUUGGCUGAAAUUAAUGAAUUACUGACAUGCUUAAUACAGGAGAUUAACAGAUUAAAUAAGCGUGAUUUUUUUAAAAUUUAAAAUAUUAAGUUUUUAUUUCAAUUACUAUAAUUGAAAUUUUUAUAUUAAUUUGAGAUAGAAGUUAUUUUGAUACUUGUUAU